Molecule: ribosomal RNA, 844 nt
Filed under: uncultured bacterium
Lineage: Bacteria
Description: bacterial SSU rRNA
Rfam family: Bacterial small subunit ribosomal RNA
Source: RNAcentral
GCUGGCGGUGCGCCUUAUGCAUGCAAGUCGAGCGAAGCUUUUCAGUAGUUUACUACAGAAAAUGACUGAGCGGCGAACGGGUGAGUAACGCGUGAGCAAUCUACCUUAGUUACAGGGAUAGCCCGAGGAAACUCGGAUUAAUACCUGAUAUUCUUUACAUUUCGCAUGAAAUCAAAAGGAAAGGUCAGCCGAACUAAGAUGAGCUCGCGUUCUAUCAGCUAGUUGGUGAGGUAAAAGCUCACCAAGGCAACGACGGAUAGCUGGUCUGAGAGGACGAUCAGCCACACUGGGACUGAGACACGGCCCAGACUCCUACGGGAGGCUGCAGCAGGGAAUAUUGCGCAAUGAGCGAAAGCUUGACGCAGCGACACCGCGUGUGGGAUGACGGAUCUAGGUUUGUAAACCACUUUCAGGAGGGAAGAAAAUGACGGUACCUCCACAAGAAGCCCCGGCCAACUACGUGCCAGCAGCCGCGGUAAUACGUAGGGGGCGAGCGUUGUCCGGAUUUAUUGGGCGUAAAGAGCUCGUAGGCGGUUCAACAAGUCGGUCGUAAAAGUUCAGGGCUCAACCCUGAAAUGUCGAUCGAUACUGUUGUGACUAGGAUACGGUAGAGGUGAGUGGAAUUCCGAGUGUAGCGGUGAAAUGCGUAGAUAUUCGGAGGAACACCAAUUGCGAAGGCAGCUCACUGGGCCGCUAUCGACGCUGAGGAGCGAAAGCUAGGGGAGCAAACAGGAUUAGAUACCCUGGUAGUCCUAGCUGUAAACGAUGGAUACUAGACGUAGGAACUGGAUUGACGGUUUCUGUGUCGUAGCUAACGCGUUAAGUAUCCCGCCUGGGGAGUACG